RNAcentral lists this ribosomal RNA (251 nucleotides) under uncultured prokaryote. RNAcentral's name for it is "partial 16S ribosomal RNA". It matches the Rfam family "Bacterial small subunit ribosomal RNA", at positions 525 to 775 of the family's 1533-position model. The record is from RNAcentral.
ACGUAGGGUGCAAGCGUUAAUCGGAAUUACUGGGCGUAAAGCGUACGCAGGCGGAUUGUUAAGCAAGACGUGAAAUCCCCGGGCUUAACCUGGGAAUGGCGUUUUGAACUGGCAGUCUAGAGUACGGCAGAGGGGGGUGGAAUUCCACGUGUAGCGGUGAAAUGCGUAGAGAUGUGGAGGAACACCGAUGGCGAAGGCAGCCCCCUGGGCCGAUACUGACGCUCAUGCGCGAAAGCGUGGGGAGCAAACAG